RNAcentral lists this ribosomal RNA (253 nucleotides) under uncultured bacterium. RNAcentral's name for it is "partial 16S ribosomal RNA". It matches the Rfam family "Bacterial small subunit ribosomal RNA", at positions 524 to 776 of the family's 1533-position model. The record is from RNAcentral.
UACGUAGGGUGCGAGCGUUAAUCGGAAUUACUGGGCGUAAAGCGUGCGCAGGCGGUUUUGUAAGCCAGGUGUGAAAUCCCCGGGCUUAACCUGGGAAUGGCAUUUGGGACUGCAAGGCUGGAGUGUGGCAGAGGAGACUGGAAUUCCUGGUGUAGCAGUGAAAUGCGUAGAUAUCAGGAGGAAUACCGAUGGCGAAGGCAGGUCUCUGGGCUGACACUGACGCUCAUGCACGAAAGCGUGGGGAGCAAACAGG